RNAcentral lists this unclassified non-coding RNA (880 nucleotides) under Hevea brasiliensis (rubber tree). The record is from RNAcentral. Lineage: Eukaryota; Viridiplantae; Streptophyta; Magnoliopsida; Malpighiales; Euphorbiaceae.
AUUGUUUAACAAAGAACAAAAGAUAAUUGUCUAACCCUAGCAAUAGGUUGUUAAGAGUGGUAGCAAAAGAAACUAUAACCCGAAUGCAGCAAUUUAGAUAAAAGAUAUUUGGGAAGUGACGGAGUUAUUUAGUGGAGAAGAAACAAUCAAAGGAUGCAAGGAAAUAACUAGAUUUACAGGGGCUUUCAUACUAGGAACUUGUCCUUUUAAUUAUGCACAAAAGGACAUCAUUCCUUUCUGGACUAAGGAAUUAGAUAGCUGAAAGUUUCAGUUUGUAAAAUUUUACUUGUCCAAUACCAUUUCGUCUGGCCUUCUGAACAUAGGCCUAACCAAGACCUUAAAAGAUCAGAAUGGGAGAAUACUAAAUAGAAGGGAAGAAGAAGAAUAGAGGCAGAGAGGAGAAAUAGAAGCAGAAGAAGAACAGAAGAGAGGAAGAAGUUUCGAGAACAAGAGAGAGAGAAUUAGAAUUAGUGAGAGAGAAAAGAUUCUUGUAUUAUUCCUUCAAUGAAUUUUACAGUACAGUUAUACAGAGUAUUUAUACUCUUUAUUCCUCAAUACAAGUGACCAAACAUCUUAUUCUGUUACAAUCAACCAUUUCUCUAACUAAUACAACUGUUCCCUCCAAAAGUUGCCAACUCAGCAGCUCAAUCACUCAGCUCAUAUUCCCAACACAUUUUAAGCUUUAAAUUUGUGUUAUUCUGCUUGGAUGCGUUGGAUAUGGUGCAUUUUGUAUAUUGCCAACUAAACUGGUAUUGUACUCUUCUUACAUGUGUGAUGUUGUUGCUUUUUACAUGCAUGAUUGCCUGGUAUAGUUAAUUACAUCUAUUGCUAACUCUAGCAAUCCAUUUCUGGCUUGCAGUCUUUCCUGGGUGCAAAAGUG